This 1777-nucleotide long non-coding RNA is filed under the name Paramuricea clavata. Lineage: Eukaryota; Metazoa; Cnidaria; Anthozoa; Malacalcyonacea; Plexauridae. The record is from RNAcentral.
CUGAGGUGCAGCUGCGAAAAAUGCAACUGUAGGUAUCUUGCAGGAAUAGAACCUGCAGCGCAGCGCUCUAACCAACUGAGCUACAUAUAUUAAGGUGAUGCCAGGAUUGUCAAUGUAAGGUAGUUGGGGGCAUUUCGCUCGAUAGAGUUCAUAUUUGAAGAUGGAAAUCUAGAGUGUAAAUUUUAUACAUUUUUAUCGAAUGACAUGCCAUAUUAUAUAAUAACGUGAAGAAUUCAAACGCUUUCAUUGGUGGAGAGCCAUGAUCAAUAAUAGGACAGACACACGGAAUUACGUCACCCAAAACCUUAUCCAAUAGCAUUCCCUUAUUUGUACAGAUCAUGUACGCGUGGUAUUUGUAAAAUUUGGACUUUUUUAAAUUUCCAAAUGUUUGGGUGGAUAAAGAGUAAGCUAUUUACCUGUUUAAUUCGGGGGGGGGGGUCUUUUUAUUAUAUGAAACAAAUAGAUAAGAUUUUGCCGUAGUCUGUUCAGUUAUAGAUACCGGAGUAUAUGGCAUCAUAAUUCCAGACGUUAUCCACAUUAUGACGUCAUACUGUAUCUCUAUAACUGAACAGACAACAGCAAAAUCUUAUCUAUUUGUUAAAAUGAUAUCACCCUAAUAUAAUUACCUCAACUUGCCGUUGGAGCUCGACAACUGGAUUCUGUAGAUCAGUUGGUCAGAGCACUGCACCGGAAUCGCAGGGCCGAAGGUUCGAUUCCUGACACAGGGCUUAUAUAGUUGCAUUUUUUGCAGCUGCUGCUGGGCAUGUCUGAAAAUGUUUAAAAAUUACACCUGAGAUUUCCAUCUGCGAAAACCUUCAACAUUGUGUUAAUUCUAUCGAGUGAGAUACCCCAAAAUGCUGACUGAUUAGGAUUUAUGAGCUGUCAUGGUUUGUGCUUGAACCACCUGGAUGGGAUCAAGAUCUCUUCGCCAGACUGCUGACAUUUCGAAGUGUUUUUUCAGGCCUUAAAAUAUAUUGUACAGGGCCGUCUGACAAAAUGUCCGAUGACUUCUGUAUGAUGAUGUCCGAUGACCUUCAGUUCAGUUUGGUUCGGAAAUAAGUCUGAAUGACACAAAUCAGUAUGAGCACAAAAUUAUAAUGUAUUAAUUCUGAACCAAAUGUUGUGAAGAUAUUAAAUAAAAUGUGUCAUUCGCGUGCUUAUUUGCAAGCCAAAAUUAAUUUGUUUGGGUAUACAUUUUGAUUUACAAAGCUACAGUUUGGUCGGACACCAAUGCACUCGCGGGUCGGACAAACAAUAAACCUCAGUUUCACUUAGGUCGGACAGUAUGCCCGGUGGUUUCCUCUCUACGUCGGACAAUUUCACGAAUGCCGAAUGGGUCGGACAAUGUCCGUGCCCGACCGAUAUUUAAGGCCUGGUUUUAAUCUCUUUUAAGUAUUUCAUGCAGCUAUAGACUAAUGCAGACAAAUCACGGAAGCUUAUUGUCGAAUAAAUGGAACACGCACUGGCCCCCUUGAAGCAUUCGAAUUUUCUGAUUUCGAUGAAACGAUCGCAAUUUGAAAUGCCUCAAUUAACACUCGGGUUUGAUCAAGUACAAACCUGACAUUGACGAAUUAAGGCGGAAACUGUUUCAGUCAGAGUUGCAGAAAGUGUCAACCGUCCUCCAGGGAAGAAUUCAAGGUUUGAAACCUUCCUCAAAACAUUGUGAAUUAAUAUGGCUUUUUCAAGUUGCAAAAUAUAUAAAUUACAUGAACUUUUCAUAAUACUUUUCUUUACCCUUAUUUAUUCAAACAGUAUUUCCAUUUUUUUGGCUAUUCCC